GAUCCUGGGCUCAGGAUGAACGCUAGCGACAGGCCUAACACAUGCAAGUCGAGGGGCAGCGGAGAGGUAGCAAUACCUUUGCCGGCGACCGGCGCACGGGUGAGUAACACGUAUGCAAUCCACCUGUAACAGGGGGAUAACCCGGAGAAAUCCGGACUAAUACCCCAUAAUAUGGGCUCUCCGCAUGGAGAGCCCAUUAAAGAGAGCAAUUUUGGUUACAGACGAGCAUGCGCUCCA
This 237-nucleotide ribosomal RNA is filed under the name uncultured bacterium. Its description in RNAcentral is "partial 16S ribosomal RNA". It matches the Rfam family "Bacterial small subunit ribosomal RNA", at positions 15 to 240 of the family's 1533-position model. The record is from RNAcentral.